UCUGAACUCUAUGUGGGAUUAG
RNAcentral lists this microRNA (22 nucleotides) under Homo sapiens (human). Its description in RNAcentral is "hsa-miR-12113". Lineage: Eukaryota; Metazoa; Chordata; Mammalia; Primates; Hominidae. The record is from miRBase by way of RNAcentral.